The sequence is a non-coding RNA, 358 nucleotides long. It matches the Rfam family "transfer-messenger RNA". From Rfam's summary of the family: Bacterial tmRNA, also known as 10Sa RNA or SsrA, is named for its dual tRNA and mRNA-like properties. Its role is to liberate the mRNA from a stalled ribosome. To accomplish this part of the tmRNA is used as a reading frame that ends in a translation stop signal. The record is from Rfam.
GGGGCUGCUCUGGAUUCGACAGGAUUCAAUGAUGCUGGAGGUGCAUGCAGAGGUGCGGCUGGCCUCUUUAAAAAGCCGCAAAAAAAUAGUCGCAAACGACGAAAACUACGCACUAGCAGCUUAAUACCCUGCAUAGGCCCUUCCACUCAAGUUCUUUUCACUAACUGAGGUACGGAAGGUCAUACUAGUGAAAUAGCGAGGGAAACUUGUCUAAGGUUGAACCGCGAAAUAGUAUUAGGCCAGUCCGAAGGAACCCUGUUUGUCGGGGUCCAUAGGAUUAAACAAAUGACAAACUAAGCAUGUAGUACCAAAGGUUGACGCUUUCUGGACGCGGGUUCAAUUCCCGCCAGCUCCACCA